Molecule: ribosomal RNA, 458 nt
Filed under: uncultured bacterium
Lineage: Bacteria
Description: partial 16S ribosomal RNA
Rfam family: Bacterial small subunit ribosomal RNA
Source: RNAcentral
GACGAACGCUGGCGGCGUGCUUCAUACAUGCAAGUCGAACGAGAAGCUGACUUCGGUCAGUGGAAAGUGGCGGACGGGUGCGUAAUAUGUAGGAAAUCUGCCUUUAGGAGGGGGACAACAGAGGGAAACUUCUGCUAAUACCCCAUAUGAGCGUAGCUGAAAUGCUAUUCUUGAAAACUCCGGUGCCUAAAGAUGAGCCUGCAUCUGAUUAGCUAGUUGGUAGUGUAAUGGACUACCGAGGCGACGAUCAGUAGCUGGUUUGAGAGGAUGAUCAGCCACAAUGGGACUGAGACACGGGUCAGACUCCUACGGGAGGCAGCAGUAGGGAAUUUUGCGCAAGGGGCGAAAGCCUGACGCAGCAACGCCGCGUGAACGAUUAAGCCCUUCGGAGUGUAAAGUUCUGUCAGUGGGGACGAAACUUGACGGUACCCACAGAGGAAGCACCGGCUAACUCCGUG